RNAcentral lists this ribosomal RNA (496 nucleotides) under uncultured bacterium. RNAcentral describes it as "bacterial SSU rRNA". It matches the Rfam family "Bacterial small subunit ribosomal RNA", at positions 49 to 507 of the family's 1533-position model. The record is from RNAcentral.
UAAUACAUGCAAGUCGAACGCACUUUCGUUAGAUUGAAGAAGCUUGCUUCUGAUUGAUAACAUUUGAGUGAGUGGCGACGGGUGAGUAACACGUGGGUAACCUGCCCUAAAGUGGGGGAUAACAUUUGGAAACAGAUGCUAAUACCGCAUAAAACCUAGCACCGCAUGGUGCAAGGUUGAAAGAUGGUUUCGGCUAUCACUUUAGGAUGGACCCGCGGUGCAUUAGUUAGUUGGUGAGGUAAAGGCUCACCAAGACCGUGAUGCAUAGCCGACCUGAGAGGGUAAUCGGCCACACUGGGACUGAGACACGGCCCAGACUCCUACGGGAGGCAGCAGUAGGGAAUCUUCCACAAUGGACGAAAGUCUGAUGGAGCAACGCCGCGUGAGUGAAGAAGGUUUUCGGAUCGUAAAACUCUGUUGUUGGAGAAGAACGUAUUUGAUAGUAACUGAUCAGGUAGUGACGGUAUCCAACCAGAAAGCCACGGCUAACUACGUG